Molecule: transfer RNA, 75 nt
Filed under: Amphibalanus amphitrite
Lineage: Eukaryota; Metazoa; Arthropoda; Thecostraca; Balanomorpha; Balanidae
Description: tRNA-Met
Rfam family: tRNA
About the family: Transfer RNA (tRNA) molecules are approximately 80 nucleotides in length. Their secondary structure includes four short double-helical elements and three loops (D, anti-codon, and T loops). Further hydrogen bonds mediate the characteristic L-shaped molecular structure. tRNAs have two regions of fundamental functional importance: the anti-codon, which is responsible for specific mRNA codon recognition, and the 3' end, to which the tRNAs corresponding amino acid is attached (by aminoacyl-tRNA synthetases). tRNAs cope with the degeneracy of the genetic code in two manners: having more than one tRNA (with a specific anti-codon) for a particular amino acid; and 'wobble' base-pairing, i.e. permitting non-standard base-pairing at the 3rd anti-codon position.
Source: RNAcentral
GCCUCGAUGGCGCAGUAGGCAGCGCGUGAGUCUCAUAAUCUCAAGGUCGUGAGUUCGAUCCUCACUCGGGGGACG